UACUAAUGCAACUGCGAAUAGCUGUUUAAUACAGUCGUAAUUGUAUUGACUUAGUAUAAUGUUAAUAAUAGUUAUUUAUAGGAUAACUAAGGGAAAGUUUGGCUAAUACGUUUUAACAGUAUUAUAAUUCUUAAUACACAUAUAAUAAUAUUAUAAUAUGAUAAAUAUUAUAUAAAUAUUUUAAUACAUUUAUUUGUAUUAAUAUAUAGAGUUGACUUUAUAAUAUUUAUUUAUUAUAAAGCAUGUCAAACAAGCAUCUAUAGCAUCAAGUCACAAUGUUGGCAUGUGUAUUAUUGAACCUUCAAAGCAUUUACGCAUUCGGAGGAGUAGUUUCUGAUCCCGUCGAAGGUGCCUGAGAGACGGCACUUAGUUCUAAGGAACGCAGCAGGCGCGUAAAUUGCCCAAUGACAAAACAUGUUAUAAUAAAAUAUAUAAUGUAUAUAUAUUGAAUACUCAAUAUUUAAUUGAGGCAGUGACAAGCUGUAAAGAUUGAAUAUAUUAAUUAAGAUAACAUUUGGAAUUGUCGUUUUAUAAUAUUUUUUAAUAUUAUAUUACUUGAUAAUAUACCAAUGUUAUAAAAUAUUCAAUUUGAAUGCGGUGAAUGUAAUAAUUUCAAGUAACAUGUAUAAAAUAUUUAUAUUUUAUUAGUUAUCUGAAUUUUCAAGUGGAGGGCAAGUCUGGUGCCAGCAGCCGCGGUAAUACCAGCUCCACUAGCUUAUACAAUCAUUGUUGCGGUUAAGAGGCUCGUAGUUGGAUUGAAUAAAACAUAUAUACACAAUACUGUGAACAAACCAGAGUGUAUAAAACAUGUAAUAUAUUAUAUAUUUAGCAAUGAAUGUUUUAUCAUGGAAUAUUGCUAUAAUGAAUAUHAAUAUCGAUGGAGAUAGUUGGAGUURAGAGUACUGAUAGGCGAGCGGUGAAAUGCAUUGACCCUAUUAAGACUAACAAAAGCGAAAGCACUUAACUAGAUYAUUCUCUUUGUAUUAUUUUACAAUGAAGAGCGAAGGUUGGGGGAACAAAGAGGAUCAGAUACCCUCGUAGUCCUAUUUUUACAUCAAACUAUGGGAUUUCAUUCACACUAAACACUAAACAUUAUAAUUAUAAUUAUGAUUGAGUAUAUGUCAAAAUAUUACUCUCAUAUUAAAUAAUUAUYAUAUAUAUGAUUAUAUGUACUUUGAGCUCAUAUAAUUAUAUAGGUGAGAUGUAAGCAUUAUAAAGUGAAUAAUAUACAAGUAAUAUUGUAUUAUUAUGAUCUUUAAAAUAAAAAAUGUAAUGUGAUGCACGUUUUAGGUACGAGCUUACUAUAGAAAUAUUUAAAAUAAUACCCUCCUGGGGUAGUAUGCACGCAAGUGUGAAACUUGAAGGAAUUGACGGAAGGGCACCACAAGAACGCGUGGAGCAUGUGGCUUAAUUUGACUCAACCCGGGAAAUCUUACCAGGUCCAGACAUAUUGAGGAUUGACAGGCGAUAGUAUAUAAUUCAUUUAUAUGCAUMAAAAUGAUAGUCCUUUCAUGAUUAURUKAUAGGUGGUGCAUGGCCGUUYUUAGUUMGYGGAGUGAUUUGUCUGCUUAAUUGCGUUUCAGU
This 1584-nucleotide ribosomal RNA is filed under the name Marginopora vertebralis. RNAcentral describes it as "SSU rRNA". It matches the Rfam family "Eukaryotic small subunit ribosomal RNA", at positions 76 to 1343 of the family's 1831-position model. The record is from RNAcentral. Lineage: Eukaryota; Foraminifera; Miliolida; Soritidae.